AGGGAGAGGCCUCCUCUCGGGGCGCACGCGUCCCGAGGCGAGAGGGCCGGAGGCCGGGUCAGCCGUCGAGGCCCCGCGCCCCCCGGUCGGAGACUCGGGCGGCCGAGUCUCCGCUCCCGCCAGCGAUCGAUGUGGCAACCCGCGCCCGGGGCGGGGAGGGCC
Molecule: ribosomal RNA, 162 nt
Filed under: Xenopus borealis (Kenyan clawed frog)
Lineage: Eukaryota; Metazoa; Chordata; Amphibia; Anura; Pipidae
Description: 5.8S
Source: RNAcentral